RNAcentral lists this ribosomal RNA (253 nucleotides) under uncultured bacterium. Its description in RNAcentral is "partial 16S ribosomal RNA". It matches the Rfam family "Bacterial small subunit ribosomal RNA", at positions 524 to 776 of the family's 1533-position model. The record is from RNAcentral.
UACGGAGGGAGCUAGCGUUGUUCGGAAUUACUGGGCGUAAAGCGCGCGUAGGCGGCUUUGUAAGUUAGAGGUGAAAGCCCGGAGCUCAACUCCGGAAUUGCCUUUGAUACUGCAGCGCUUGAAUCCAGGAGAGGUGAGUGGAAUUCCGGGUGUAGAGGUGAAAUUCGUAGAUAUUCGGAAGAACACCAGUGGCGAAGGCGGCUCACUGGACUGUUAUUGACGCUGAGGCGCGAAAGCGUGGGGAUCAAACAGG